Molecule: long non-coding RNA, 2097 nt
Organism: Alligator mississippiensis (American alligator)
Lineage: Eukaryota; Metazoa; Chordata; Crocodylia; Alligatoridae
Exons: 7
Source: RefSeq, a predicted model, not a curated record
UCAAGCAUUUCCCAUUGAAUCUCGAUCAUUAAGUCUUGUCUGCAGCUGCGUGUGCUCACAUUUGAAUCAAGUACAGCUGAUCAGCGCAAGCCCUAAGUGUAGACAAAGCUACUGCUUGUUCUGUUGGAUUUUCCCCUUUUUAUUUACAAUGCAGAUUCCCAAAAUCUUCAGGCCAGCAUGGGCAUAGUGAUUUGACCACAGGGCACUGGAGCUGAUUCUGUGUAGAGAAGGGAAAUGGCAAAAAAAUUGGUCCCCUAAUGGUAAGGUUGGCUCUGCUUGUUCUGAUCAUUACUGGUCAGGUUAUUUCUUCACUUAAACAUUUGAUCUGAGUGAUGCCCUUGCUACUGUGAAGUAGUGAUCUCCAUGUUAUUGCAAAACUGCUUUUAUCUUGAGGAUUUCUUGGAUGCUGACUCCUGGAGUGGUGCAAGGCCAGCCAGUGAGAGAAGGAUUCAGAAAAGGUAUUCCUAGAUGGCCUACUCCUCUACAAGAAACUAUAGGUUACAUCCCAUUAGCCCUUCCCACAUGGAUUUGAAGACGUACGUGUCAGAGAGGGUUCUCCCUCCAAUUACGGAUUGAUGGGUGGUUGGCAGAUUCUGGCAGAGUCUCGGCUUUGUGGAGAAGCAGAAGACUCCAGAAUACAGCGCUGUCAUCCAGACUAACCGGAUAUGAAUGCAGGAUCCUGACUUGACUUUCUUGAAAGCCAAUCAGUUCUGUGUGAAAUCGGGCAGACUUCACUAUUCUGACUUCUCUAGAUAUGCCAGAGGCUCUCCAGUUGUCUGUGGGAAAGCUUUUGAUAGAUUUAGAUGAAAUUGCUACAUUCCUGUGAAGCAUUUCCAUCUCCAUUUCACUGGAUCAGUAUUUUGCUACAGAAAACUGUUCCAUCAGAAAAAAAUUGAUUAGCCCUGCUUGGGGCUUUGCAGAGGCUUUUGAAAAGAUCAGCCGGAGCAUUGGGAAAGCAUGAACUUCAAUCUUCAGAGCAUGCAAGCAACAAGGCAUCAGCCGUCAGAGUGACACAAGCAGCAAUUUCCUUUGCACUUGAAGAAAGACUUUCACAAUUUGAGGAGCAUCAUAAUCUGCGCGCUUUCUUUUUCUGUAUCUCCAGCAACAUUGAAGAUGCCGGGUGAGGGUUUACAACAGCAGUGCACUGUGUUAAGCAAAGCAGUAGAAGACAGACAGCCUGGAGAAGAGACAGGCUGUGACGUAAGUGCCCUGGACCUUUCCAUUGAACUUCUAGUUCUUGGCAGCAGCUGAAACUUGGAACGUACCCAAAAGCUGCUUUGGAGUUUCCAUGCAAGAAUACGGUUUUUGUCCCUGUUUCCAAAUCUCCCAUUGCAGUCGGGGGUCCAUUAACACUGUCUGGGUCUGUUGCAAGCAGAAAAAUGCAGUUUUUCAAAGUUCAUACUUAAAGACACGUUUACUUUCUACUAGGGCUCUUUUUUGGCUGGUACACCUUGAUUUAAGUUCGGGUGAAUGGUAAAUUACAGAGAGUAUUGAUCUGAACCCUCUGCUAGCACACAUGUAGCAGAAAAAAGUAAAGCUCACUAAGAUGCUAACUGCCACUCCCAAAUUAUGGGGACCAGAGACUUUAAAGGAAUGGCCCUGUGUUUGAUUUUCAAGUUCUUUACUUUCUUUGUACUAAUAAAAGUAUGAAACAAAAGGAAUGAAUCCAAUUCUUUCAGUAAUGUAUUGGGCAAUUAGGACAUUAAUUGGGGAGUGUGGCAAAAAAAAAAUAUUACCCUAAAAUUAAGCUACAGGUGGUACAGAACAUCUAUUCACAAAAAAUAUAGAGUUUCUUAUCUGACUAGUGAACUGCACCAGCAAGAGCAGAAUGAUUCACCUCUACCAUCACAGCUGAUGGAAAGCUUAGAUAGCUAGAUAGAGCGAGACAGAAACCAGGAGUGGGACACAGAAGUUGUGACUCCCGGACUCCUGGUUCAAGCACAAGGCAAUGCACUUCCUUUGGGACAAUAUCAUCACUGGCAUCAUCUGUUAAUUCCUUGCUAUAAGAAUAAUACUGUGGUAGAGACUUUGGCUUGCUGUAUGCUUUGCGGCCCCAAGCGAACUUUGGGUGCUUCCGGAGAAAUUAUUAACAAACAA